RNAcentral lists this long non-coding RNA (241 nucleotides) under Elaeis guineensis (African oil palm). Its description in RNAcentral is "long non-coding RNA (EGUI_LNC060903)". Lineage: Eukaryota; Viridiplantae; Streptophyta; Magnoliopsida; Arecales; Arecaceae. The record is from RNAcentral.
CCCCCAGUCAUGAGACCCCGACCACCUCUCGCCUCCCUAAGCCUCUGAUCAUAAGAACCCGGCCACCUCCUGCCUCCCCAAGCCCCCGAUUGUCUCUCACCUCCCUGAGCCCCCGACUACUAGCCCUCAGUCGUCUCCCAUCUCUCUGAGCCCCGACCGCGAUCCUACUAAGAUAAUUGCAAACAUCUCUGGGCUCAAGGGUUUCAUGGAUUCCAUGUUCACACUCUUGGUGACACCACCA